This 2774-nucleotide long non-coding RNA is filed under the name Marmota monax (woodchuck). The record is from RNAcentral. Lineage: Eukaryota; Metazoa; Chordata; Mammalia; Rodentia; Sciuridae.
CUGUGAAGAAAGUAAAAUAGCCUAGGCAUGGUGGCCUGCCUGUAGUCAGGAGGCUAAAGCCAAGCAUCAAAAGUUUGAAGCCAUCCUAGGGCCUCAAAAUAAAAUUCAAAAAGGGCUGAGGAUGUGGGUAAUUGGUAAAGUGCUUGGUAACAUGCACUAGAUCCUGGUUUGGGUUCAAUCUCCAGUACCACCAUAUAAAUAAACAAAAACAAAAUAGGUCAGUUGGUAGCUAGGGACAAGAGAUGAAUGAAUGAAUAAAUGUAUAAGUGAAUGGCAGGCAAAUUGGUGGGUAGGCAGAGCCUGUUGCUAAAAUAUAGCUAAACCUGUUUAGGUUCUAAGCCAUUGCCCAGGAAUUAUGAACAGGUCUUCUUUCCUCUUCCUCCCCAGGACAGCUCAGCAGAGCAGAUAAGGAACUCAUCAUUGUAGUGACCAGCCUGGUCAACAGGAGCUUAUACCAUGUGGUUGUCCAUAGUGCUUGGUACAGGGUCUACUCAAAGAACCCAGUGCUCUCUGACCAGGUUAGUGCCUACCUCUCCUGUUCCAGUUUCAGGGCCUUUCUAACUGAGGAAUGGACAAAGCCCAUGUUAUGAUAUGGUGCAGGGAACAAAAUCUCUAAUUGCUUGAAUUCCCUUCCAGUUCCUGUUAUGUGCCCACUUGCUUUUGCAUGUAUGUGAUGUUUAGUAUUAGGAAGAGCUAUGCCCCAGAUUAAUAUCAGUCAUAGUGGUGGUUAUUUGGCAUACAUUCUAUCAGAUGCACAUAACUACCUGUCCAAGGCAAGCCUUAUAACCAUUUUAGACUCAAGGUUCAGAGAUUUAACUUAGUAUGGAAUAUAUAACUAUAAUGUGGCAAGAGUCUCUUUUCAAAACUUGCCAUCUUUCUGCUAAUUAUACUGUUUGCACUUCCAGUAUGAAUUUUGUCCAUCCACUAAUUAUUCCUUCUGGGCCCAAACCAAUGUUUUAGGCUUUUGAAUUCUUACUGUUGACCCCAGGCAUUGGCCAGUUUGCUUCUCAUUCUGGAACUGCCUCCACCUGCUCUUGCCCAUCAGUUCUUCAGUCAACAACUUAUCCUGUCCUUACUUUGUCCAAAGUCAUGCCCUUUGGGUAUCAUUACUAUGUUUAUUUCAUUACAAAGUCCUACUGAACCCUAUAGUGAAAUCCCUGAUCCUUAAGACUGGAGAACAGAAAUAUCUGUUCUCUGCAUUUAUUCUCAGAGUUGAGGUUCAUCAUUUUCACUAUUCCCCAGUCUUCUCUUCUGAUCUGAUCUAUAGAGACUUUGUAAACUAUUCCCUAAAGGUAUCUCUUGCUGGCCUAAAAAUGAUUUCAUGAUCAUCCCCUUUGCCCUGCUGAGUGCAUCCUGCCUCGACACCCAACUUUUGCUCAUCCAGGAUCUCUCUCCCAAGUGGUCAUAGAAUGUGUUGUCACACAAUGGUUUACUGAAUAUUAUAGUUUAGAUAUGAGGUGUCCCCUAAAAGCGCAUGUGUGAGUCAGUGCAAGAAAGUAGAGGUGAAAUGAUUGGUUUAAGAGAGCCUUAACCUAAUCAGUGCAUUAAUCCACUGAGAGGGAUUAACUGAGUGGUAACUCUAGGUAGAUGGUGUGGCUGGAGGAGUUGGGUUAUUAAGGGCAUGCCUUUGGGGUAUAUAUUUGUCCCUAGUAAACAGAGUCAGUCUCUCUCUCUCUCUCUCUCUCUCUCCCUCUCCCUCUCCCUCCCUCCCUCCCGAUUGUCAUGUCCUGAGCUGUUCUCUGCCAUAUCUACACUCAGCUUAGGCCCAUAACAAUGGAGUUGGCCAUCUGUGGGCUUAGACCUCUGAAACCAUGAGACCCCAAGUAAAUUUUUUCUCCUCUAACAGCUUUUGCCAAGACUUUUGGUCACAGUGGCAAAAAAGCUGACUAAAACACCAAACUAUUUUAUUUUAAGGUUUGUAGUGGUUUCUAGUAUUUUGCUUUAGCAAGGGAAUUGAUUACCUAGUAUUGUCUUUGGAAUCCAGUGUAUUUGAAAUCCCAGCUAUACUGUGCUCUAGCCAUAUAACCUUGGGAAAGUCACUUCACCUCUUUGAACUGCAGUUUGUCAAUAAAAAGGGGAUGAUAAUAAAAAUACAACUGUCUGGGGUUUUUAUAAGAAUUAAAUGAGAUAAUGAAUACAAAACACUGAGCACAUUCUUAAUUUAUAGUAAUUGCUAAAUGUAAACUCUUUGCAAAUAUUAUAUUUUGUUUGGUAUUGAUGUGGGGGGCAGGUCAAAGAGAGUCUUUGAGCUCUACUUUUCUCAGAAAACUUUGUUUUAGUCUGAUUUUGCUCCUUUAUUCUAACCUUGAGGGACUUUUUUUUUAACCAUCAAUGUCAAUUUUAUUAAGCCCUUGUUUGAUUAUUUAUUUGCAGUAGACAAGAUAAUCUGCUUCUGACUAUAUUUUCUUGCAGGUCUGUGUGAAUUGGAGAAAGUCUGACCUUCCUGCUCGGGGAAAAAGCAAUGCUGGAGUUUGCACUUGCUGUUUCCCAAGCUGAUGAUAUAACAGAUGACCAUUUCAAAAAGCUUGAGAUAUAUGGCUUCAGUAGAGAAGAUGCCUGGGACAUAGCUGCCAUUUCAUCGUUUUAUGCCAUGGCCAAUCGCCUUGCUCAUUUUAUCAAACUCGUUCCCAACAAAGAAUUCUACUUUAUGGGCAGAACUAGUGAUCAUCGAGAGUGAAGGUGCUGCUCCCAAAGUAUAAAAGCCUGAAAAGGGAAAAAACAAAACAAAACAGUGUUUAUCAUUUCAGUCAUGUUGUAUUAGGAGACAUCAGUUG